GCGCGAAAACUUUACAAUGCUGGCAACAGCGAUAAGGGAACCUCGAGUGCCAGGUUACAAAUCUGGCUGUCGAGAUGCCUAAAAAGCAUUUCAUAGCAAGGGCCGGGCAAGACCGGUGCCAGCCGCCGCGGUAACACCGGCGGCUCGAGUGGUAACCGUUAUUAUUGGGUCUAAAGGGUCUGUAGCCGGCCGGAUAAGUCUCUUGAGAAAUCUGGCAGCUUAACUGUCAGGCUUUCAGGAGAUACUGUCUGGCUCGUGGCCGGGAGAGGUGA
RNAcentral lists this ribosomal RNA (272 nucleotides) under uncultured bacterium. RNAcentral's name for it is "partial 16S ribosomal RNA". It matches the Rfam family "Archaeal small subunit ribosomal RNA", at positions 339 to 611 of the family's 1478-position model. The record is from RNAcentral.